CCUACGGGAGGCAGCAGUGGGGGAUAUUGCACAAUGGGGGAAACCCUGAUGCAGCGACGCCGCGUGGGUGAAGAAGCGCCUCGGCGCGUAAAGCCCUGUCAGCAGGGAAGAAAAUGACGGUACCUGAAGAAGAAGCCCCGGCUAACUACGUGCCAGCAGCCGCGGUAAUACGUAGGGGGCAAGCGUUAUCCGGAUUUACUGGGUGUAAAGGGGGCGCAGACGGCGAUGCAAGCCAGGAGUGAAAGCCCGGGGCCCAACCCCGGGACGGCUCUUGGAACUGGGUGGCUAGAGUGCAGGAGGGGCAGGCGGAAUUCCUGGUGUAGCGGUGAAAUGCGUAGAGAUCAGGAGGAACACCGGUGGCGAAGGCGGCCUGCUGGACUGCAACUGACGUUGAGGCCCGAAAGCGUGGGGAGCAAACAGGAUUAGAUACCCCAGUAGUC
This 440-nucleotide ribosomal RNA is filed under the name uncultured bacterium. Its description in RNAcentral is "partial 16S ribosomal RNA". It matches the Rfam family "Bacterial small subunit ribosomal RNA", at positions 338 to 795 of the family's 1533-position model. The record is from RNAcentral.